UCUUCUUCUUCAUCUUUCUUCUUCUCUUUUCUGCUCAUCUCUUCUUUCUCUUCUUUGUUUCUCUUCUGUUGAGAGUUUGUGAGUCGUGCGUACGGAUUUUCUGAGCACAAUCAUUAGAUGAAGAAGGGGUGAUCGUUUUGUAGAACUUUAAUGAAGAAGAUGGUGUUGACAAAUAAUCGAUAAAAGUUUCAGAGACAGAUCAAGAUGCGUACGUGGCGAUGAAAACUUCGAGGAGUUGGUUUCGUUAGUUGGUUAACUUCCGCUAUGUUUAUUUUGUGUUUAUAUUCUAUUUUGUAAACCAACUCACUACUGAAUAUGUAUCACUCGAGAGAAGUUCUUGUAUUUAUUUCUGAGAGGGUUUAGAUUCGGGUUAAUCUUUGUUUAGAGCUUAUUUCUUAGUGUUUUAAAUAGAUGUUUAGAUUGUUAGUGCCUCA
This is a long non-coding RNA of Papaver somniferum (opium poppy), 434 nucleotides long. RefSeq lists it as uncharacterized. Lineage: Eukaryota; Viridiplantae; Streptophyta; Magnoliopsida; Ranunculales; Papaveraceae. The record is from RefSeq and is a predicted model, not a curated record. The transcript has 2 exons.